GUCCACGCCCUAAACGAUGUCUACUAGUUGUCGGGGAUUCGUUUCCUUGGUAACGCAGCUAACGCGUGAAGUAGACCGCCUGGGGAGUACGGCCGCAAGGUUAAAAACUCAAAAGGAAUUGACGGGGACCCGCACAAGCGGUGGAUGAUGUGGAUUAAUUCGAUGCAAACGCGAAAAACCUUACCUACGCUUGACAUGCCAGAAACCCCGCAGAGAUGUGGGGGUGCCCGAAAGGGAAUCUGGACACAGGUGCUGCAUGGCUGUCGU
This 267-nucleotide ribosomal RNA is filed under the name uncultured bacterium. RNAcentral describes it as "partial 16S ribosomal RNA". It matches the Rfam family "Bacterial small subunit ribosomal RNA", at positions 793 to 1055 of the family's 1533-position model. The record is from RNAcentral.